AUUGAACGCUGGCGGCAGGCUUAACACAUGCAAGUCGAGCGGAGACUUCGGUCUUAGCGGCGAACGGGUGAGGAAUGCCUGGGAAUCUGCCUGUUAGUGGGGGAUAACGAAUCGAAAGGUUCGCUAAUACCGCAUACGUCCUACGGGAGAAAGCAGGGGACCUUCGGGCCUUGCGCUAACAGAUGAGCCCAGGUCGGAUUAGCUAGUAGGUGGGGUAAAGGCUCACCUAGGCGACGAUCCGUAGCUGGUCUGAGAGGAUGAUCAGCCACACUGGAACUGAGACACGGUCCAGACUCCUACGGGAGGCAGCAGUGGGGAAUAUUGGACAAUGGGCGAAAGCCUGAUCCAGCCAUGCCGCGUGUGUGAAGAAGGCCUUCGGUUGGCAAAGCACUUUAAGCGGGGAGGAAGGCCUUGGGAUUAAUACUCCUGAGGAUUGACGUUACCCGCAGAAUAAGCACCGGCUAACUCUGUGCCAGCAGCCGUCGGUAAAGUACUGU
This 497-nucleotide ribosomal RNA is filed under the name uncultured bacterium. RNAcentral describes it as "bacterial SSU rRNA". It matches the Rfam family "Bacterial small subunit ribosomal RNA", at positions 30 to 529 of the family's 1533-position model. The record is from RNAcentral.